UACAGAGGGGGCAAGCGUUAUUCGGAAUUAUUGGGCGUAAAGGGCGCGUAGGCGGCAUGGCAAGUGGAAGGUGAAAUCCCUCGGCUCAACUGAGGAACUGCCUACCAAACUGCUUUGCUUGAGUCCGGGAGAGGUAAGUGGAAUUCCCAGUGUAGCGGUGAAAUGCGUAGAUAUUGGGAGGAACACCAGUGGCGAAGGCGGCUUACUGGACCGGAACUGACGCUGAGGCGCGAAAGCGUGGGGAGCAAACGGGG
RNAcentral lists this ribosomal RNA (254 nucleotides) under uncultured bacterium. Its description in RNAcentral is "partial 16S ribosomal RNA". It matches the Rfam family "Bacterial small subunit ribosomal RNA", at positions 524 to 777 of the family's 1533-position model. The record is from RNAcentral.